CUGUCCGUUCUCUCUUUCAGGCACUAGAAUGGAAACUCUGUGAGGACAGGAACUGUUUUUAACAUUUAUUUAUCUGACUGCUUAUGAAUUGAGAGGCAGGAAAAGCCAUCCCCAGAUGAAGGGAUGAGAGGAAGGUCCAGGAACACAUGUGGCUAUGGACUGUGCCUUGGUCAAUCCAAUGGCUUUGAAAUACCCAGGACCAGCGAAGAGGGCGCUCUCCUCACUGAAUGUUCUUAAGCAGCAGAGAUGCAUGUAUAGUUUGGAAACAAGAAAAAAAAGAGAUUAAAAAGAGCUAGAAAGAAAUGGCAAGCGAUGUAUAACUAAAUUCAGGACCAAGCACAAUUGGCAAGGUGGUCUCCCGAAAGCAUCCGCAACUCAGAGGUACUGAGGUUCUUUUCUUGGGAGUUUGAAAGGGAGCUGAGGGGAGGGGCUGUGGAGGUGAGGGCACUGGAGGAGGCGAACAUC
Molecule: long non-coding RNA, 465 nt
Filed under: Ictidomys tridecemlineatus (thirteen-lined ground squirrel)
Lineage: Eukaryota; Metazoa; Chordata; Mammalia; Rodentia; Sciuridae
Description: lncRNA (ENSSTOG00000034537.1)
Source: RNAcentral